This 24-nucleotide non-coding RNA is filed under the name Arabidopsis thaliana (thale cress). Lineage: Eukaryota; Viridiplantae; Streptophyta; Magnoliopsida; Brassicales; Brassicaceae. The record is from RNAcentral.
AGAAGAGAAUCAGCAGUAACCGAU